CCCUUAGAUGUCCUGGGCCGCACGCGCGCUACACUGACAUGUUCAACAAGCCUCCUAGUUCGACAGGAUUUGGGAAAUCUUUGAACGCAUGUCGUGAUAGGGAUAGAUCAUUGCAAUUAUUGAUCUUGAACGAGGAAUUCCUAGUAAACGCGAGUCAUCAGCUCGCAUUGAUUACGUCCCUGCCCUUUGUACACACCGCCCGUCGUACCUACCGAUUGAAUGUUUCGGUGAAGAUUCCGGAUAGGACUUUUUUGAUUUAUUUCAAUUUUGUCUUAAAAGCUAUCUAAACCUCAACAUUUAGAGGAAGGUGAAGUCGUAACA
Molecule: ribosomal RNA, 321 nt
Filed under: uncultured eukaryote
Lineage: Eukaryota
Description: partial 18S ribosomal RNA
Rfam family: Eukaryotic small subunit ribosomal RNA
Source: RNAcentral